CAUGUCCUUUUGAUAAUUAUUUAAGGUCUAAUCUGCUCAAUGAAUAAUUUAAAUUGCCCCAGUAUAUUAACUGUGCAAAGGUAGCAUAAUAAUUAGUUUUUUUAUUGAAAGCUGGAAUGAAUGAUUGGCCAAGAAAACUACUGUUUCUUAUUAAUUUAUUUUUGAAAUUAAUUUUUAAGUUAAAAAGCUUAAAUUUUUUUUAUAGACGAGAAGACCCUAUAGAGUUUAAUUUUUUUUCUUUAUAUUAUUAUUUUGUAAUGGAUUAUUUUAUUAUAGUUGAAAAAUUUAAUUGGGGUGAUUAAAAAAUUUAAUAAACUUUUUUAAAUUUAAAUUAUUUAUAUAUAAAUUUUGAAUCUAAUAUUUUUAAGUUUAAUAUAAAUUACCUUAGGGAUAACAGCGUAAUUUUCUUUUGAAGUUCUUAUUUUAAGGAAA
RNAcentral lists this ribosomal RNA (432 nucleotides) under Micropodabrus sp. UPOL 001304. Its description in RNAcentral is "partial 16S ribosomal RNA". The record is from RNAcentral. Lineage: Eukaryota; Metazoa; Arthropoda; Insecta; Coleoptera; Cantharidae.